Non-coding RNA from Plectropomus leopardus (leopard coralgrouper), 204 nucleotides. The record is from RefSeq and is a predicted model, not a curated record. Lineage: Eukaryota; Metazoa; Chordata; Actinopteri; Perciformes; Serranidae.
UUUCCAGGUGUCCUCCAGUGUUGUCUGUCCUACUCGCUGAUCACCAGACUGUCCCCCAGCUGGAAUAAAGCAGGACUCUACCUCAUCAAUGGAAAAGACUUCCUGUCUGAGAGCGGGAGGCUCAACGCUGUCAGCAUGCAGCUGAGCACCUGCGAGGGUCACCUGUGCAUCAGCAUUGAAGCCAACACAGUCCGGCUGCCACUG